UAGAAGCAAGCACCACACUGGAUCAUAUAUAAAGGCCAAUGAAACAGCCUUUUCUCUCAUCAUGCUCAAAUCCUCAUGUGAUAAGGAACCAUGCUUUGGCCUCUGUUCUUUCUGGAAUUCCUAAAGAAGAAUGAAUCAGUUAAUGAACCACUGCAAUAACAAAUUCUCUCCAGAUUAAAAGACAUAAAAACACACUAAAAUGGAAAAGAGUACAAUGAAGGAUAGGAAGGCAGAGAUGAAUGGAAUUUAUUCCUUCCCUAAUCUUCCAUUUCCAGAAGCAGAAAAAU
Molecule: non-coding RNA, 287 nt
Organism: Phascolarctos cinereus (koala)
Lineage: Eukaryota; Metazoa; Chordata; Mammalia; Diprotodontia; Phascolarctidae
Source: RefSeq, a predicted model, not a curated record